GUCAAAAUAACCGACGCAAAUGGGUCAAAUUGGAAUUUAGGCUUCUAGUGUGUGUUUGAUCGGGAGAACGCAAAAACACGCACACACACCUUCCUCGAGUGCACCGGGUUUCUGACCCUUGGUGCUGCUGUCUAGUCGUGAGUGUGUAAUUAGUAGAAACAAGAGAGCAGUCGAGACAAAGAUGUGGCGAAGAAGAAAGCAGCGCCGUGAAGCCGUGGCCGAAGGUGGAGUUGUGGCGGCACUUCGUUGGCAGUAACCCUAGUGGCCGAAAAUCUGUUGGUUUACCCCCAUCCAGUCUCUUUCUUUUUGAAUUACACUUCCAAGAGGGGCAAUUAUGUCUGCGAUAUAUAAAGAAAAGAAGGAUGAUUAAACUAGUAUUUUAUAUAAUAAAUGAUAGGGAAAUUGUAAGACUUUGUCAAUUAAUUCAUUCUUUUUGUCUUUGUUCAUUAUCUUAUUAGGAAAAGAAGGAAGAUUAAACUGGUAUUUUAUAUAAUAAACUAGUAUUUUAGGCCAUGUAAUUCUUGUCCUGGGAAUGAAGAUGACCAUAAUGCCCUCAAAGUCUCCUGUUCUCUUACAAAAAUGAAGAAAUGUUUAUCAUGUUACAGACUAAUUCUUUUGUCAUGCGAAACUUCUCAUUUGAAAACUUGCUCUCAUUUCAUUCCUCCCACAUAUAUAGGUGUUGUUUCUUUUUGACUUACGUCGAAUAUGAUGAGAAGGGUAAAAUGAUCAUUUACAAAUUGCCCGUGUUUAAUUUUUCCUUUCAUUUCCUUAAGUGUUGUUAUUUUUUCAAAUAUUUUUAUAAGAAACUGGGCCACAGACAUUAAUAUUAAAAAUGUAAAUCUAUUGAAAGAUUCUUGUAAUUAAACUACCUGAUGUUCUUGCCUGGUAGCAUCAUAAUAAACAUUUGUCCUGUUUUUUAGCCUUUUUAGAUUAUAUCACAGGUAGGUUUUAAAGAACUUAUUGUUAUCAUUAAAAAAAUAUUAUUUGAUAUAAGUAAUUGUAUAUAUAUUACUAAAUUAUUUUAUCAAGGUAUCCUACUGUUUCAUGUGGUAUGAAACAAUCCAAAAAGAUGUUGAUCUUGGUCUAAACCUCAACUAAUGGAAGUACAUUGAUAUAAAAUAAGAAUCAAUGAAUAUGUAAAACAAUUGUUAGUUUGUUACUAUAUAUUAAAUUUAAAGCCAAAGUCGAAUAUAUGAACUUGAUAUGUAAAAAAACACAAGUUUAAUCUAAAAUUUAAAAGUUAUUUUAUGUGAUUUAGAGACCAUAUAUAUCCACAAUGAAAUACCACGUUAAUGAUGAUUUUAAUUUUUUUUCAAUUGAGCUUGUGAUUUUGGGUUAAGCACAAUGAUCACCUUUAUAAUUUACUCUAAACUUUACUAUACAAAUUGGUAAAAUAAAAGUAUUAACAAAUUGAAAUAUAUAUAUUUUUUAUUUGAACGGGUUAAUAAAUAUCUAAUUAAAGAUAAUAUGAUAAAUAUAUAAAUGACUAAUAAAAUUUUGAUAAAGUACACGCCCAUGAUGAUAUGGAAUCACAAAAUGAAUCGUAAAUCCUUAAAGUGUGACUUACGCUUUGUAAAUCAUUUGUAUUUUUCCCAUUUUGCCCCUGUAGAUCUCUCUCUCUCUCUCUCUCUCUCUCUCUCUCUCUCUCUCUCUCUCUCUCUCUCUCCGGCGAGCACCUCUUCAAAACUGAUCGUCAAUCGAUUUCAACAGUGAUUCGACGAGUCUUCAAUUUUGAACAACCAGACUGUUUGGUGGAGGGAGAAAAAAUGGUGAAGUUCCAUGAUCAGAACUUGAAACAGAUGAAGUUUGUUGCUGCUGUAAAUACUUCUGGGCUACUUGUUGGAGUGACUACUGAUAAUCGAAUUGAAUCAAUGUUUUCGUUUUCUUCAACAAUGUAAUUUCUAAAUCUGUGUAUUAUAUCAUCCUCCUUUUGUUUUUUUUUUCUGUUACUUUCAUUUUUUGUGAAUGUAUUGUACUUCAAAAUUUCUAGCCAUUUACGACAUUGUACAUCGGAUGUUUUUUAAAGUACAAUGCUCUAAUAGGAAGAAAUGAAAGUGGGAUGCUAUAAUAAACAAAGUAAUAAAAGUACAGUGCUAUGUUUUCUGAUUAGCCCUUCUAUAUACCCAUGUUUCUAUAUGUAGGUUUACCUUGUGAUUUUAUUAGUGAUAUUGUUGAUGUCAAAUUGAUUUUACACAUUGUUUAAAAAGGGAUAAAUGCAAGAAAUAGCAAUGAACUUCUCUUUAUCGUGAAUUAUAGCAUUCUCCUUUCAUAUGCUUCUGUUACGACAUUGGAUUUUUUUUUUU
Non-coding RNA from Lactuca sativa (garden lettuce), 2303 nucleotides. The record is from RefSeq and is a predicted model, not a curated record. Lineage: Eukaryota; Viridiplantae; Streptophyta; Magnoliopsida; Asterales; Asteraceae.